Hemicordylus capensis (graceful crag lizard) is the source of this 10692-nucleotide RNA transcript. It is a transcript of the gene named immunoglobulin superfamily DCC subclass member 3, with no coding region annotated. Lineage: Eukaryota; Metazoa; Chordata; Lepidosauria; Squamata; Cordylidae. The transcript is spliced from 15 exons. The record is from RefSeq and is a predicted model, not a curated record.
GGAGCAGCGCGCACGCCGGGCGGAGAUGCUGCCGUGGCGGCGGCCGCCGCGCCUCCCCCUCGUCGCCCUCGCAGCGGUCGGAGCAGCAGCCGGGCAAGAUGGCGCAAGGUGGUGGCGGCGGCGCUGGCGGGGCCGGCCUCCCCAGCGCGGGGAGCAGCGCCUAGCGCGGCCUGCCCUGCCGUGAGCCCCGCCAGCCUCGGCGGCGGCGGCGGCGGCGGCGCUCCGGGCGCACGUGCGCUCCCUCCUGCCUCCGCGCCCUGCCCCGCCGGAGCCAAUGGCCGCCCCCGGCCGCGCACUCUCGCCCCUCCGCUCGCUCGCCGCCGCCCUCCUGCUCUUCCUCGCCGGCGCAGAGCUGGGCCGUUCCGCAGAGCUUGCGUUCACCAUGGAGCCCAGCGACCACAUUGCUGUUCAGAAACAGCCACUGGCGUUGCAUUGCCAAGUGGAAGGGCUCCAACCCAUCAGCAUCACCUGGCGGAAGAAUGGGGCCUUGAUGGCGGACGACGAGAACGCCUUCACCCUCGCCAACGGCUCGCUCUACUUCUCGCACUUCCAGAAACUCAGGGGCGACGGGUCUUCCGACGAAGGCGAGUACGACUGCUUGGCCCGGAACCGCUUUGGCUUGGUGGUCAGCCGGAAGGCCAGGAUCCAAGCCGCAACAAUGUCUGACUUCCACAUCCACCCCCAGAGCACGGUGGUAGAAGAAGGAGGGGUUGCCAGAUUCCAGUGCCAGAUCCACGGCCUGCCGGAGCCAGUGAUCUUAUGGCAGAAGAAUCGUGUCCCCAUCAAUACCGAUAAUGACAGGUACACGCUGCUCCCCAAGGGGGUCUUGCAGAUUACCGGACUGCGAGCUGAAGAUGCUGGGAUCUUCCAUUGUGUCGCUACCAACAUUGCCAGUGUGAAGAAUAGCAGGGAAGCCAGGCUCACCGUAUCGGGCUCCCACUCUGCUGUGUACAAAGAUCCCAUGAUUCUUGUGGGGCCAGAGAACCUGACCUUGACUGUCCACCAGACGGCCGUCCUGGAGUGUAUCGCCACUGGAAACCCCAGGCCGAUCGUCUCCUGGAGCCGACUCGAUGGCCGCCCAAUCGGCGUUGAAGGAAUUCAGGUCCUCGGGACGGGUAACCUGAUGAUCUCGGACCUCACGGUGCAGCAUUCCGGGAUCUACGUCUGUGCAGCUAACAAGCCUGGCACAAGAGUGAGGAGAACCGCCCAAGGGAGGCUGGUGGUGCAAGCCCCGGCAGAAUUCGUGCAGCACCCUCAGUCGAUUUCCCGUCCCGUGGGGACCACGGCCAUCUUUACCUGCUUGGCCCAGGGUGAGCCUCCCCCACAGAUAACGUGGCUGAAGAACGGGCAGAUUUUGGAACCUACAGACCACGUCAAGUUGAAGAACAACAACAGCACGCUCACCAUCUACGGCAUCAGCCAGGCGGACGAGGCCAUCUACCAGUGCAUCGCGGAGAACAGUGCUGGCUCAACCCAGGCCAGUGCCCGGCUGACGGUGCUUUGGGCUGACGGGCUGCCCGGCCCCCCUCAGAAAGUGAAAGCGGUCACCGUCACGGCCACAACCAUCCAGGUGUUGUGGAGUGAGCCCCUGCAGAACACCCAGGAGAUCAUCGGCUACGUGCUGCACAUCAGGAGAGCGGCAGAUCCGGUGGAGAUGGAAUAUCAAGAGGCCGUCAGCAAAAACACCUUCCAGCAGCUAGUGACAGACCUGGAGCCCUCCACAAGCUACAGCUUCUACAUCAAGGCGUAUACCUCUCGGGGGGCCAGCAAAGCUUCUGAAGUGGUGGUGGUGAACACCUUGGGGGAAGUGCCAGCAAUGCCGUCCCUCUACAUCAAAGUCCUCAACAGCACCGCCGUUCAGGCCACGUGGGAGCCCUCCAUCAAACUGGGCCAGCACGAAGGCUUCAAGCUGUACUACCGCAAGGUCCACCUCUCCCACUUCACCGGCCCCGUCCUGUUGCCCAGCAAUGUCACGUCGUACAACAUUACCCAUCUGGACCCGUCGGUAGUGUAUGAAGUCAAACUCCUUGCCUACAACCAGCAUGGCGAUGGGAACUCCACUGUCCGGUUUGUGUCCUUGAGAGAGACCGUCGAAAGAGCAGGGUCGAACCCGCCGUGCGACUGCAUGAAAGAGGAACAAUCCAAGAAGACGUCUGCCACCGGGAUCAUCGUCGGCAUCCACAUUGGGGUCACCUGCAUCAUCUUCUGCGUCCUCUUCCUCAUGUUUGGGUACAGAGGACGACUGCUGAUGUGCAAAAAUGCCCAGGAGCAACUGUCGACCCCGCAGAUCCCCAGAAGCCAGAGGAACGCGCCAGGCCUGGCCCUGAAUGGAUCUGCUCGGAGGGAGAGGGGUGAUUCCGACGGGUACGGGAAGCAGCUGGAUAUGAACGAGCUGGAAAGGUUGUUCCCGGCAUCACCUUCCCCACCGGACCAACACAAUAAGGGGACCGCGCCGGAUCCUGUUCCUCCUACCUCGCACGAUGAAACCCAGAUCUCCACGCUGCCACCCGAUGAAUUCAGCAUCGUAGAGGAGCAAAGCAAUGCCCUCUUCCAAGACCUGCCCGCCGGCACCCACAACAACAGGUCUUUGCUCAGCCCCAGCCCAGAAGAACCAGCUCCAACCAAUGAAGGAUGAUUGCCAAGUCCUGUGAGCUUCUUAGAGGACUAGAUGGCCGCCACGUCCCAUGUCUGGCAUUGCCUUUCCAAUGACUUCUCAAUCUCAGACAGCCUUGUGGAAGCUCCAUGAAGUUUAUCCUUCUGACCUGUCUCAGGCCUCUUGGUACAUUCCUUUCGACCUGGAUCUCGGCUGUUGGGUCGGUGGCUCCUCAAGAAGACCCCUUUGGCGAUUCCUCAAAAUCCAUUGACACCAAAUGCAAUGGGAACCUUUCAUGGUCUUGGUUCUCUUGUUGGCAGCUUUAGGACGAUUACUCCGUGGAUCCAGUUUGGUAACACAUGGAGACAACCGAUUUUGACAGUCCAGUCUCACUUGGCUCCAGAAAGAAGUCAAGGUUGGCCAAACCUCUCCAUGAAUUUGAUGACCUUUCGGUCACCUAUGUCUAGCUCUUAAUUCUCAGGAUGUUUUGUUGCCGAUAAACUAUUUUAACGGCAAAGCGAGUGUGUCAAAAGAAGAAGAAAAGGCCUGAAAGAAGGCUACUGGAAAAAAAGAAGAAGAAAAGAAAAGACUUGGACUAACAUACCGAGUAAACUCAGAACCUACCUCAACCGGAAUUGAAUGUCUUCUGGGAAGAAGCAAAUAUCUUGUGUCUUCCUUUGGUUUCCCAAGCAAGUAGUGUAGCACUUGGUCAGUAGGUGUGUCGGUUCUACCUCAGAAGUCAUACUCCAUGUCACCAUGUUGGUUGUUGGGUUUUUUUAAAAAAAAAGUAUUCCUUUCUCGUCAUUGUCGUUCCAAUGUAAAGCACUUCCAAAACCUUGAAAGCAAUGUUCUACCUCAAGAAGUUUUUUAUAGAAGAACGGUGUGUUGUGUGUGUCGUCGGACCUCCGUGCCCUUCACCUCUCCGUGUUCUGCUCCGUUCCAGUGUUCCAAAAGAGUUGUGUCAAAGAGCAGUGUGGGUUCAUGUCUGGUUGUGGUCUUUGAUGACUCUUCCCCUUAGUGUUAUAAGCUUUACUUUUAGGCAAGUUGCUAGUUAACUUGCGUAUAGAGUUUUCCUGCGUCAAGAGUCAUUUUAUAUCAUGUUUUUUUAAAAACAACUUUACAGAUCGUUAGGAUUAUAGCAAAAGGUAUGCCACCAGUCACCUAAAGAGAAAUGUUGCCAGUGGACCUUGUGGGGAGUGGGAAGUCAGGUCAUAUGUUACUACUGAGAGCUGGUUCACAUGGGUAUGUCCAUCAACUGCAGUAUUAAGUGAUGGUUAUAUGUCUGAAAGGACCAUUGCAGAUUUGAUAUCCGAACCAUCUUGUACACACAGUGCAUGUACAUUUAGCCCACAGGCAUCAAAUGCCUUUUACCAAGUCAGUUUGUUGGCCUAGCUAACUCUGCAUUUAUUGGCAGUGUCUCUAGCAGAGAUAUUUCCCUGAUUCCAGAGGCGGUUUAACUGGAAAUGCCAAGAAUUGAACCUGCAACCUUCUGCUUGCAAAGCAAGGGCUAUGGUGUUUCUACUAAACAGCUUAUGGAAGAGGGUCCUAUUGUCUCCGUGGAACCUACUUUCAAGUAAGACUCCUUAAAUUUAGCCAUGAUCCCUCCCCUGCUGUGGGUUAAUCUAGCCAAGUAUUAGGUGGGUUCAGACAUCACAUGAAACCAUGGCUAUUUAACAAACCACAGUCUAUUUAACAAACUUGGGUUGGAGCCCAAGGCGACUGCCAAAUGUUGGUUUGUUUCUCCAUAUUGUAGUUUGUCAGAGUCCCCCUACUUCUUUAUUUCCAUGAGUUGGCUUGCUUCUCCAUCUUCGAGAAACCUGCAAGGGGUAGAGCUACUGAAAUAAACCCCAACUACAGGUUCAGAUAUCUUGCAAGAUCAUGGUUAAGACAAAAAACCCCAGCCUCAAACCUUGGUUUCAGAGUGUGCGUGGUGUGACAACAAAUCGUGGUUUGUUGUCUGGUGGAGGUUCAGACAUUAAACUAACCGUGGUUGGACAAAAUAAACCAUGGUCCUGCAUGAUGGCUGAACCUGCCCACAUUCUACUCUAACUGGCAGCAGCUCAAAGGCCUGAGGCCUUUUUAACUGGAGAUUCCAGGAGCUGAAUUUGGACUUUUAUCCCCUGUCCGUGAGCCUUUUAUACACACCCCAAAUAUGGAACACUCUACAGAUGCAUGUGUCAUCCCCGUGCCGGAGUUAUGCACAUUUCUGUGUCCCAGUUUGGGUAUAUGCGCCAUCAAAGUGGUGUACAUGUCUGUGUGAACCAGACCCUAGUCAGACCUGUUUUUCUGAGAGUGGAUGCUUCCCGUUGAGUCUCUGGGUGCUUGUAGCCGCUGGUAUGAUUGCUCAGCGGUUGUAGACCUCCCAUGCGAAGCCUUAGAAUUUAGCGUGUUUUUUAAUAGGCUGGUGACCUACCUCAGUACAAGCAGUUAGGCAGCCAGAAAAGGAUGAGUAACCUCUCCGAUACGGUCAUUGGUGGGAGGAAAAUUGAGCAGGGGGAAAAAAGUUACCCCAGGCCACUGAUGUGAUGUGGGCGAAAAAACUCGUCAGAGCAUUCAUGGAGCUCCUCUUUCAAAAGGAGCCCAUUUGUUCCCUGCCUUCCUCCACAUGUGCAGGAGCUCUGUGGAACACGCUCCUAGCCUCCAGAGCUACCAUUUCAUUUCCAUGUGCUCUUUUUAAGUUUAAUUCCUAUAGCUAUUUUUAUACAUGGUGAUUAAUCUAGAAAUGUUCUUUAAAAAAUUGAUUUUGUUUUAAUGAUAAGCAAAAGGAAUCAAAGAGGGGGAACGGGAAAAGCAACUAGUUAAGUUAAACCAUGGCCUUUAAAAAAAGAAAAGAAAAAGGAUUUUGAAAUCCCCGAAAUUCUCCACUGUGAGCACCAGCAUGAGGGAUCAGUCUUCGUUUCCAAAAUCGUGUCUCUCUUUCUGUUCAUUAGCUGCUUUGUUUUUACGGAGUGUAUACGUGAAAUGUGUAAAUAUCACCCCUCAGAAAGCGCAGGGAGGAAAGAAAGCAGAUAUAGUUGUGUAUAAAUCUCUGUCUUGUAGUAAUCACCCAAAACACAGUGGCGGCAGAGGAGGUCAAGCGAUCACGAUGGUGGCAAGAGCUGGUCCAAGGUCAAGCGCAGUAGCCAGCAGUGGGUGGGUGAAUCCACAGGGGUUCAAACCUCAGCCCCAUCCACCCACCCUCUCAGCAACAAAGAGCUGCAAAAAGGGUCCCCCCAGAGAAGAAAGCUGUAUUCAAAGAAACCGUGCCCUUUAUUCCUAAAUGCACGUUGAGAGUAUUGCUCGGGGUCUAUCUAUGCUAAGACCUUGUUCCGGUUUUGUAAUAACUGCUCUGCUUCCCUUGCAAGGAAACCUGGGGAUUAGAAUUUGGUGUGGGUCUUAGGAGUUAGAGAUCCCCGUUGGAAAGGCCAUGUGGCACAGUGGUUAGAGCGCUGGCCUUCAGUUGGGGGGACCUAGGGACAAACGCACACUCAGCCAUGGAGCUUACAGCAUGACGUGUGUCCAGCUACACUCUAAUCCGGGGGGCUCCCAACUUUGGGUUGCUGGAGUACAACAGCAACAUCUGUACCUGAAUCCAAGAGUAGGUCUUCCCCAAGUUCUGUGAUGUUAGAAAUUGGGGGGUCCAUCUUAAAUUCAGAGUCCUCUUCCUUUCAGGUAAAUGCAGGUAUAACCUGCCUUUGGUCUCUCGUUUUUAAGGAAGUGGUCUUAAACUCGGAGUCCUCUUCUGUUCAGGUAAAUACAGUAGUGCUUUAUUUAUAUGGCCGCCCCGUAGCAAAUUGUUCUCUGGGUGGCUGACAAAUGCCCAGGCACAACCAUCAAUCGAAGGCCAUUGUGCCUGGGUGUGAUAAGGGUUGUCCUGCAACAUCUGGGGACGGUCCAGGGCUGGGAAUGCCUGGCCUAAUUUAUUCAGACUCCAGUCUAAGUUUCCUUGGGAGAAUGUCCAGCUCAAAAGACGAUAUAAAAGGUGUGCCCAAUCUGGGCCCCUGGUUCGCUGUUUUUCACCGCCACUGCCAAGUUUAGUGAUGGCUCCAUUUUCCUCCCAGAAAUCCCCUGGGGACAGCAUUAUGUGAUGACAGUGUAUCAUUCCCAGGGGAUUUAUGGGAGUGGGGGCUGUUUGCUCCCCCGAAAAUGAGCUGAAAAGCCUCCUGCGAGAUUUGCCACCGCCCGUCGAGAAGCAAAAUUGGGGAGUGGGAUUUUGUCUCAGCACUUACGCCUACCUCACAGGGUUGUUGCAAAGGAUGUGGGGAACCUCUGUAUGCAACCCUGAGCUCCUUGAAGGAAGGAUGGGAUACCUAAUCUUAGCCCUAUCCAGAGAUUAUGUUGUACGCAUGUACAGAUGUCUGUACACCUGUAUGUAUUUUUGUGUGAAUGACAGUAACUGCAUUCGUUUUAAAAAAUGGACAUUCAUUUAAAAAAUGGGUACAGGCCCCAUGAAAUGCAGGAUACAGAUAGAAAGCAUCCUGAUGUACCGUGAUCAACGUAAUGUGUGAAUCACUGUGCCUGUAUACAGAUUUGUACCUGUGUGCAUGAUACACUGGUUGACCAUAACAUCUGGAUAGGGCUAUUAUAACUCUUCAGACUACACUUCCCAAGGUUUCCUGGGCCAGGGAAAGUCCAUUAAGCCAGCUGACGGUCAUAGCGUACAUAUGCCCUUUCUGAUCUCAACGCUAUUUGUUUCAUAACCCCAAGCUUCAAACCACGCAUUUGGCACCCUGCCACGCUGACCUCUCUUUCCACCUCUCCCUCUGCCAGAAGGCCCUGAAAGAGGACCAGUGACCUUGUUAGCGUGGUCCAAGAGGGCAUAAGAGAGUCUCAAUUUCUCUCUGCCGCUUCAAUGCCACUGGAGUCCCAGCCACCUUGCCAGCCACAUCGUGUGUUGCUUAGUUUACACUGAAUAGCUAUGAAACAAAAGAAAACAAAAAAUGUACGUUGGUUGUUGUACAUUGAUGACCUCAUAACAAUGCGUCUUCUUCAGGGCGACCUCAUCCAGGAACAGCUUGUGUGUAUUGAGAUGAUCUCUCUUUGCCAGAGAAGUCCAGUCUCCGGUUUGAAUCAAGGACUGUUGCCAAAGCAAAACACGUCAUGUUUAGACUAGCAUUCACCUCCAAAUCCCCAGGGCUGUGUGAACCUGCUAUUAAUUUAAUAUCAUGUUAUUGUGAUACUGUAAACAAAUAUUUGUCACUGCUUCCUUUGAUGAAAAGGGAAAAUGUUGUGCCAUUUGAUUAGUAAGAUUAUGGUAGUCUUCCGGGUAGAGAAUCUUCCUUUCUUUUUUGAUAUAUGGAAAUGUGAUGGCUUAAUCCAGUUGGAGAUCCCAUUGGGUUGAGACAACUGAUGAUGGAUGUGAACCUCUAAAGAUUAUUAUUGUUGUUGUUGUUAUAUUAUUAUUAAUUUUUAGAUGGGUAGAUUUUCCUCUCUUUUGGGAUUUCUUUAAACUUUUAAAAAUUCCGUAGCAAAGUAGCCACAGAAAUUUCUGACCAGCAGAACCUCACAAGAGGAAUGAUGUUAUCUAGGUGUAUCCUUGUUUUUGCAAACAAGACAGUAUUUUUAAAAAAGUUUUGAUUUCCUUGCAGAGUAUAGAGAAUUCCUUACAUAGCAGCCAUCUUGCUGGCUUCCACCUCCAAUCCAAUACUGAGCAAAAUGGUGCCAAUUUGGGGCGAAAACUGACCUGAAGUCAGAUAUUCCUCCAGUAGUAGUGGAGGUUCAGUCCAGAGAAUUGCUCCCUUUGGAGGCACAUGAAAUUCCUUUUAGAGGCACGUGAAACCUCUGUGCAUGUGGGUCAAGCCUUCCAUCUAGUUCCAUAGAGAGUAGAGUUGGCCAUGUGCAGGAAUGCAUGGGUGGGCCUUCCUUUUGAGCGAAAAUGGCCACUCUUCAGGCUGAAAUCUUGGACCCCAAAAUAAGGUUCCAAAACUAGCUGUGCAAAUUUCGGAGGAGGUCCUCCCACAUGCUGCCAGAUUCUGCAUGAAAAAGGACCCUCACUUAGAAGGGGCGGGGGGAAUGUCCCAGUUCUUGUUUAUUGGCAAAAGAAAAGGUAACACUGCAGUAUCAAGCUCACUUUCUGCCCUCUGACCACACUCCUAUGGCGGUGGAAGUCUAAUCUGAAGCACGCCAGCAUAUUUCUCCAGCCAUUCCUGGUUACAGGGAGAGGGUGCUGUCACAGGGGCAGAGCUCUGACACUGUCCACUGGGAGGGCCCUGUUCCAAUUUCUCCUUGGCCAGGCCAUUUCCUUACUCUUGGUUCUUCCUCCUAUAUGAUUGAUCAUCCUGGGCUACCUCAUAGGCUGAUACAAGGAGUCCUGAGUCCAGCGUUUGUGAAGCACAUGGACAGGUACCAUGCUAUUAUUGCUCAUCUCGUUAUCAUUAUUCUCAUUUUCUACAAGCUUCCGCUUGCCUCCUAUAUAUAGUGCAUAUGGCCGAUUCUUGCAGAUUAGGUAACCAGAUUCACCAGAGCUGGUUGCUACCUCAGGGAGAGAAAAACAAACUUGCUUUUGGCUACGAUUCACUGGGAAUAUCUGCUGAGUAAAACUCCUGUGCGUUUCAGUGGUCCAGCGGCAUAAUCCAUCUAAAAGUCAGGAUGUAACUUGUGUUUACACGGAACUAAGUUCCAUUACAUUCAAUGGAGCUUCCUCGAAUGGCCAUAGGAUUGCCAUCAAAGUCCAAGCGAAAUCCAGGGGCCAGGUGGCCCAUGUCUUUCUUUAACUGGAUUGGAGCUUAUGGGCUUCAGUUCAACAGGGAUUAGUAGUUACUCAAUGCUGUGACAGGGUUUUAUCAUCCUAUCAAAUUCAGCCCCCCACCCCCCUGAAUAACAUAAUCUGCUUUAUUCUCUCUCUUCCUUCUUUUGUUCAAGCAACAGUAUUUGUAAAAGUGGUGGCAUUUAUUUAAAAAACAAACACUGACCUGGAGGAUUUCAAAUAGACUGGCAUGAUUUGUACUUUAAGUCAGCAAUAAGGAAAAGGGCAGAAAAGGAAGAUGAUGAUACAUUGUUCUAACCGUAGGCCAGAUCUGUUUGUUUACUUUUUUCAGAAUUCCCUUUAUCUGGUGCUUAGGCAGCCCUUUGGGUCAUGCCUUGAAUCUCUAGAACAUUUCUGUGUGUUACUUUGUAGGUGUCUCAUCCCUGUGACAUGUUUUAUCUUGUAAAUGUUGGAUUCAAAAGUUACCAGGGCCAUCUAGGCCUCUCCCUGCCUGGGAGGGACCAAGAUGGCAGCCUUCGAGAUGGCAGCCACGUUCCAAGGUAUGCAUUUGCAGGAAUCUAUGGUGGCUUUUAAGGGGCAAAAGGGGGCAGGACACAUAACAUACUGCAGUUCCAAGUCCUUUGAUGUCAUAUCUUCUCUUCCUUGGAGGUUCCAUACAUUCAGCCCAUCCAUGGCUGCAUGCAAAGCUGAAAUGACUGCAGUGCAGAGACAAACAUGUUUACAGAAGUUCUGUAAGUUCAGUCUUGACAUUUCUUUACAGCCUCUCAGAUUUCUUCCUGGCAUAAAUGUUAAAUGUUGCCAUCACUACUUAUAUCGCCUGUCCAGAUAAGGUUUCUUCCCAACUCCUUUGCUUCUCUUUCCUCUUGAGAAAUGCCUUUUAAGUCACAGUGGAAUGGGACAAACUUCUAACUUUCCGUUCAGCCCUCACACACACUUAUGGCAGAUAUGCUUCACCCCGCAUUCUCCACAUCACCACUCAAAGAACGAUGGAAACAUUUCUCCAAAGUGGAAUUUGAAGAGCAUUUCAUGUUCUUCCAAGGAGAAACUCUGGAGAGGUUUUUCAGACAGUUUCCUGAGUGCACACAUUAUGGGCACCCAUCAAAGCUGCUCUAAAUUAGUGCAUGAGGUCUCUGUUGCCAUGUGAUGAAGUACAUAGGCACAUGGUUUAAACAAUGGAAUGAGGCACUUUUGCAGCAUCCGAAACCCUGGCGGUUAAAAAAUGGUCUCUUCAGGAACUUGGUUGACCACUACUUGUCUUUGGCUGAGCCCUGCCUCACCCUUAGCCCAGGUGUGGAUAAGGAGAAAUGUGAAUCUUGUAAAAAGUGAGCACAGUUGCUGUUUCCUGACAUUGCUUUGAAAUGGGUUUCUUUGAGUGUAUUACACAUGAGUGUAUAUCUGUAGAACGAAGGAUUUG